AGAAUGUGUAUAAUAAUUGUACUAUGUUCAUACAAUGCAGUGCUGUGCAACUUUAAAAAUGAAGAAACUCCCAUGACAGUCAACUACAUGGAUGACGAUAUUAGAUAUAAAGUGAAAGAAAGAAGGAGAAAGAAGCUAGAAGGCUCUCACCAAUGGCCAAACACAGGCACCCACCCAGUCUUGAACUUUUAAUUUCAAAAACUGCAAGUGUCACCCUUGUGAAGAAUUGCAAGGCACUAUUCAUACUCAGCAUUCCAAAAAUUACCAUUUUACAGUAUGAUUCUGGCAGUUCCAGUACAGACUCUGCAACAUACAUACUCUGAUGUUAAAAUGCCAGCAGCACUGAGAUUCUUGGAAAGUCCUAGAGAACAGAGGAAGAAGAAAACAUGUGGAAGAAAAGAUAAGAAGAGCAGCAUUACUUCUAGGACAACCCUAGUGGGGAUAAAAGUCAGAAGUGCUGAAAAUAAGCAAAAGAUGAGCUUGUUUCUUGUCCUUUUUCCAGGCAUAUAAAGUAAUAUUUCAGUGCCAAUAUUAUGUUUUCCUUCCUUCCUACUCCAUUCUUCCUUCUCACCCCUUGGUUUAUGCUGCCAUCAGUUCAUGUCAGUGUCCUUGUCUUCCUGUCCCUGUUUAUCUUCUUCCUGGGAAUAUUCUCAUGCACUUCCUUCUCCCUCCUCACUUCAGCCAAGUUCAUCAAUUUGACUCCCCUGUGAAUCCCACCUUCAUAACAUAACAGGAAGUAUAUCAAAUACACUAGAUCGAACCAUUGGAGUGAUUCUGCCUCAGGUUUCUUUCUUUCCCAAAAGACACAGGUUGAAAGGGAUCUUGCAUAUUCUUGCAAUCCAGCCUUGUUUCUCAUCGUAUUUGGAUCCAGCCACUUACACAGGCUUCUAAAUGUGAGGAAAUCUCCCUGGUUUUUCUUGUCUUUGUUCUUCCAUUCUUGUCAUCUACUUGGUUACAGUAUCCUGACCAGAUGCUGAAUUUCACUGACUCUUCAUUGGCUUGAAUACAGUCUUUAAACGUUCCUAGUCUUUUCAUUCACCUCUGCCCCUCCCCCCACUACUUUGACCUUAUUCUUUUGUAAAUAUCCUAAUUUCUUUCAGGAAUCAGGACUAUCAUAAGUAGAUAAGUAAAUUUUAAAAAGGAAAACACAGCCGAGAAUUCUCUGAUUUGCUUGUGUCCAUGCCGAGCCAGAGCUGACCUACUUGUCGCUGACAGCUGCUUCAGUCCAUGACCAGGACUUGACCCCUCCAGGCACCAUCUUGCAUUUUUCUCUAUUUACCACCCACCCAGAUCUGCAACAGCUACACACACUUUUUAUUCUAAAAACUCUCCUUUCAUCAUUUUGUUUCAUCUUCAUUUAAGAACUCGCAAAAUUCAACCGUUUAACAUGACUUUCAAAUUAUACAGUGUUUCUCACUGGCACCUAGAUAUUCCCGCAAACUACAAAUAAGGGGAAUAUUUUCCUGUUACACAGAAAAAUUAAAUAAAUAGAAUCACUUUUCCCAUUUUUAUGCCCGUCAAUAUUUCUGUUAUUCGGAGCACACAGUAAAAGCCUAAAUACUCGACAGU
Heterocephalus glaber (naked mole-rat) is the source of this 1569-nucleotide non-coding RNA. The record is from RefSeq and is a predicted model, not a curated record. Lineage: Eukaryota; Metazoa; Chordata; Mammalia; Rodentia; Bathyergidae.